UUACAGAUCCAAAGAGAAAAAUAUGCACAAAGGAGCAAAAUCUGCACAAAAGGAGUACAAAUGAUAUGUCUGUUUAGGCGAUUGAGAUAAGAUAUCUUAUGGAUAUCUUGAUUUGCCCUCCAAAAGAGGUCGCGGUAUAACCGCAUGGAGUUAGAAAUGAUCCUUCGUAGGCUAGAGGGUAAAUUCUCCGUAAAAAGGAAAUAUAGACAAUGACUUUAUUGAGAUGGGCGUGUCGCAUCUUCUUGCAUAAUAAGCAUGUUUUGGCAGAAAAAAAAGAAAGAAAUUCCGUUCAUUGAGGAAAAUAAGUGUUCUUUUAGUAAAAUGAUUUUGAAAAUGAAAUUGAUAAUGAAAAUAUUAUAUUCGGAAACCAAGACUUUGUUGAACAAAAGCAAGGAACUGAAAAUUCAAAACCUUCGGAAAGCCAAAGACAACGUAAACCGAAACCGGAAGCAGGACGCUUGGCGUUGCCAAGAGGAGGUAGACAUGCCACUGUCUUGUUGCAAAAGGCAAGAAGAAAAACACAUGGUUAAAACUUGAAACUUUGCACACUUUUAUUUAACAGAAAAGAAAUCUGAUUAUUAAGAUAUUAUUAUUAUAAGAAAAUGUGCCAAGUGCCUGGACCCACUGUCGUUCCUAAACUAGAAUUUCAACUACAUGGAUAUUGUCAAUGCAUUUCAUUAAAAUACGCAACAUACGGUCAAAAUCUCUACUUCGAACACAGUUUUCGCAUAGCGUACAGAUUAAUACGCUAACGUUAAGCUUUCAUAUUGAAAUAAAAAUACAAUUUUCACACACAAGAAAAGAGAAAAAUAUGAACUUUUGAACACUG
Molecule: long non-coding RNA, 829 nt
Organism: Mercenaria mercenaria
Lineage: Eukaryota; Metazoa; Mollusca; Bivalvia; Venerida; Veneridae
Exons: 2
Source: RefSeq, a predicted model, not a curated record